GACGAACGCUGGCGGCGUGCCUAAUACAUGCAAGUAGAACGCACAGUUUAUACCGUAGCUUGCUACACCAUAGACUGUGAGUUGCGAACGGGUGAGUAACGCGUAGGUAACCUGCCUGGUAGCGGGGGAUAACUAUUGGAAACGAUAGCUAAUACCGCAUAAUAUUGAUUAUUGCAUGAUAAUUGAUUGAAAGAUGCUAUUGCAUCACUACCAGAUGGACCUGCGUUGUAUUAGCUAGUAGGUGAGGUAACGGCUCACCUAGGCGACGAUACAUAGCCGACCGAGGAGGGUGAUCGGCCACACGGGAACUGGAACACGGCCCAGACUCCUACGGGAGGCAGCAGUAGGGAAUCUUCGGCAAAGGACGAAAGUCUGACCGAGCAACGCCGCGUGAGUGAGGAAGGUGUUCGGAUCGUAAGGCUCUGUUGUAGGGGAGGAACGGGUGUGGGAGUGGAAAGUUCACACUGUGACGGAAUCUACCAGAAAGGGACGGCUAACUACGUG
This 504-nucleotide ribosomal RNA is filed under the name uncultured bacterium. Its description in RNAcentral is "partial 16S ribosomal RNA". It matches the Rfam family "Bacterial small subunit ribosomal RNA", at positions 28 to 507 of the family's 1533-position model. The record is from RNAcentral.